AGCCUGAAACGGGGCCCCAUGCAGGGUAGAGGGCUGCCAGCUGCCCGGUGACUAGGGGACUGUAAGAUGACCCCAGGAAGCCCCUGGAACAACUCAAGAAACCACUAUAGGGAAGGUGGCUGGUGAUGGGGCUACAAUGGCCAGGGCCUCAUUUUCCCUCUUCUUCAACAAUUUUUUUUGAGCACCUAAAAUGUGCCAGACGUUAUUCUGGCCCUGGGGAUACCACAGUGAAUAAGAUAGACCAAGCCCCUGCCCUCGUGGGACAUCGUGGAGGGCAGUGAGAAAAUUAAGUCAAAGAAUGAGGGAAGAAAGAAAAAGACAGGAGCAGCUCUGUCCAAUGGACUCUCCAUCUAGAUCUGGUCCAUCCGCUGUGGUUCUCACGAUCCAGGUUGCUGGUGAGACCCUAUCUCGCAAGACCUUCACGGGACAGAAGGGCUCAGCACCUUUCCCAAAAUCACUCGUUGAUUCAGCAAACAUUUCUUGGUCCCCUAGCAUGGGCCAGGCAAUGAAUAGAUGAAGAGGAGGUGGUCACAGCCUGCCUUAUAGGAAGCCCUCCCAGAUGGCUCUGGCUCCCAGGGAAUGUGCUGUUCUCUAGGCAGCCCCCACAGGCUCCUGUGCUGGGAAACCACCUGUUUCAACUCUGAUCCCCUUGUCACUCUGGAACCAGGCCCCUGCCAGUAGCAUCUCCAUCUCCCCACCCCCUGCUCUCCAGCCUGGAUGCCCACAUAGAACCGAUAAGCAGCAGGGUGGCCAUUUGUACAUUCCCCACAGUGACAUCAGUGAAGCAUGUCCUCAGGCUCCCCCCAAAAGUCCUAGGCCCCCUGGAGAAAGGGAGGGAGGGCCAGCACGCUGAUUCACAUUGAGUGGCAGCUCUUGGCACACGCCUUCGCUGGCCCACAUUGAGUGGCAGCUCUUGGCACGCGCCUUUGCUCGCCGUGUCCUCUUGCAUCCCACAAGGAAGGGACAGUUGAGCAAAGCAUGGCUCGGAGAGGAAGAGAGUCCCACAGGUCAUCCAGGACAGCCGCCCGACCCUGAGCUCAUGCUCCUGCCAUUACCCAGGACCCACAGACUAUUUUCCCGUGUGUCCCGGUCCCAUCCCCGUCCUGAGCCAAAGUGUGGGCCGCCUCGCCCUGCAGCCCUUCCUCCUCCACACAUACGCCCUGUGUCCUGGGAUACAGCAGGCCAGGAAGAGGGGGACACUUCCUGGCUGUGGGACAAGACAAGACAAAGAUCCUCUUUGGCCGUGGUGGUCCGGUCUAGGCCACA
Molecule: long non-coding RNA, 1266 nt
Filed under: Pongo abelii (Sumatran orangutan)
Lineage: Eukaryota; Metazoa; Chordata; Mammalia; Primates; Hominidae
Description: lincRNA
Source: RNAcentral